Molecule: ribosomal RNA, 465 nt
Filed under: uncultured bacterium
Lineage: Bacteria
Description: bacterial SSU rRNA
Rfam family: Bacterial small subunit ribosomal RNA
Source: RNAcentral
CCUACGGGAUGCAGCAGUGGGGAAUUUUGGACAAUAGGCGCAAGCCUGAUCCAGCCAUGCCGCGUGCAGGAUGAAGGCCUUCGGGUUGUAAACUGCUUUUGUACGGAACGAAAAGACUCCUUCUAAUAAAGGGGGUCCAUGACGGUACCGUAAGAAUAAGCACCGGCUAACUACGUGCCAGCAGCCGCGGUAAUACGUAGGGUGCGAGCGUUAAUCGGAAUUACUGGGCGUAAAGCGUGCGCAGGCGGUUAUGUAAGACAGAUGUGAAAUCCCCGGGCUCAACCUGGGAACUGCAUUUGUGACUGCAUAGCUAGAGUACGGCAGAGGGGGAUGGAAUUCCGCGUGUAGCAGUGAAAUGCGUAGAUAUGCGGAGGAACACCGAUGGCGAAGGCAAUCCCCUGGGCCUGUACUGACGCUCAUGCGCGAAAGCGUGGGGAGCAAACAGGAUUAGAUACCCUUGUAGUC